UGCAAGUCGAACGGCAGCGCGGGGGCAACCGUGGCGGCGAGUGGCGAACGGGUGAGUAAUAUAUCGGAACGUACCCAAGAGUGGGGGAUAACGUAGCGAAAGUUACGCUAAUACCGCAUACGAUCUAAGGAUGAAAGCAGGGGAUCGCAAGACCUUGUGCUCCUGGAGCGGCCGAUAUCUGAUUAGCUAGUUGGUGGGGUAAAGGCCCACCAAGGCAACGAUCAGUAGCUGGUCUGANAGGACGACCAGCCACACUGGAACUGAGACACGGUCCAGACUCCUACGGGAGGCAGCAGUGGGGAAUUUUGGACAAUGGGGGCAACCCUGAUCCAGCAAUGCCGCGUGAGUGAAGAAGGCCUUCGGGUUGUAAAGCUCUUUUGUCAGGGAAGAAAAGGCUGUGGCUAAUAUCCACAGCUGCUGACGGUACCUGAAGAAUAAGCACCGGCUAACUACGUGCCAGCAGCCGCGGUAAUACGUAGGGUGCAAGCGUUAAUCGGAAUUACUGGGCGUAAAGCGUGCGCAGGCGGUUUCGUAAGUCUGUCGUGAAAUCCCCGGGCUUAACCUGGGAAUGGCGAUGGAGACUGCGAAGCUAGAGUUUGGCAGAGGGGGGUAGAAUUCCACGUGUAGCAGUGAAAUGCGUAGAGAUGUGGAGGAACACCGAUGGCGAAGGCAGCCCCCUGGGUCAAAACUGACGCUCAUGCACGAAAGCGUGGGGAGCAAACAGGAUUAGAUACCCUGGUAGUCCACGCCCUAAACGAUGUCUACUAGUUGUUGGGUCUUAAUUGACUUAGUAACGCAGCUAACGCGUGAAGUAGACCGCCUGGGGAGUACGGUCGCAAGAUUAAAACUCAAAGGAAUUGACGGGGACCCGCACAAGCGGUGGAUGAUGUGGAUUAAUUCGAUGCAACGCGAAAAACCUUACCUACCCUUGACAUGGCAGGNAUCCCGGAGAGAUUUGGGAGUGCUCGAAAGAGAACCUGCACACAGGUGCUGCAUGGCUGUCGUCAGCUCGUGUCGUGAGAUGUUGGGUUAAGUCCCGCAACGAGCGCAACCCUUGUCAUUAGUUGCUACGCAAGAGCACUCUAAUGAGACUGCCGGUGACAAACCGGAGGAAGGUGGGGAUGACGUCAAGUCCUCAUGGCCCUUAUGGGUAGGGCUUCACACGUCAUACAAUGGUACAUACAGAGGGCCGCCAACCC
RNAcentral lists this ribosomal RNA (1199 nucleotides) under uncultured bacterium. Its description in RNAcentral is "bacterial SSU rRNA". It matches the Rfam family "Bacterial small subunit ribosomal RNA", at positions 56 to 1256 of the family's 1533-position model. The record is from RNAcentral.